This 497-nucleotide ribosomal RNA is filed under the name uncultured bacterium. Its description in RNAcentral is "partial 16S ribosomal RNA". It matches the Rfam family "Bacterial small subunit ribosomal RNA", at positions 28 to 507 of the family's 1533-position model. The record is from RNAcentral.
GAUGAACGCUGGCGGCGUGCCUAAUACAUGCAAGUCGAGCGAACAGACGAGGAGCUUGCUCCUCUGACGUUAGCGGCGGACGGGUGAGUAACACGUGGAUAACCUACCUAUAAGACUGGGAUAACUCCGGGAAACCGGUGCUAAUACCGGAUAAUAUAUUGAACCGCAUGGUUCAAUAGUGAAAGACGGUUUUGCUGUCACUUAUAGAUGGAUCCGCGCCGCAUUAGCUAGUUGGUAAGGUAACGGCUUACCAAGGCGACGAUGCGUAGCCGGCCUGAGAGGGUGAUCGGCCACACUGGAACUGAGACACGGUCCAGACUCCUACGGGAGGCAGCAGUAGGGAAUCUUCCGCAAUGGGCGAAAGCCUGACGGAGCAACGCCGCGUGAGUGAUGAAGGUCUUCGGAUCGUAAAACUCUGUUAUUAGGGAAGAACAAAUGUGUAAGUAACUAUGCACGUCUUGACGGUACCUAAUCAGAAAGCCACGGCUAACUACGUG